This is a long non-coding RNA of Ictalurus punctatus (channel catfish), 2687 nucleotides long. Lineage: Eukaryota; Metazoa; Chordata; Actinopteri; Siluriformes; Ictaluridae. The record is from Ensembl.
UUAUUAUUAAGUAAAUGACAAUACUUUUUUCUUUUCUUUUCUUUUUACCGCUGGAAGAGAUUUUAGCCACAUUUAAUCCUGGAAUACUAUAAACCAAUUAAAAGGCAGUAUGUGCCAAUAGUAAGUCAUUUAAAAAAGAGCAAAGCAGUUUCCUUUGAAAAAGCAACACUUCAGGCACCAAAUGCUUUAAUCAGCAGCUGUAAUGUCUGAGACAGUGGAGACAGAAGAGCAUCCCUGGCCCAAUUGAUCUUCAGUUUUAAAUACUUUAUAGGAAACACUGUGGUAAUAAUCUGCAAAUUAUGCCCAUGGAGACAUUUCACAGCUCAAUAUUCAACCUGUGAAAAUAUGUACUGGGAAGUCAUUAGCUAGCUUAAUGAGCUUGACUAGCUAGCCAGAACAUUUGAUGCUUUACAGCACGACAGCUCUGUGUUAAACUUAAGGUAUCACUUCAGUGUUCAAUGUUCAGGCUAAUGUUACGUGAGAUCCUUGUUACAUAGCUAACUGUAUAGCUGGAAACAUGUAUGAAUUAACAUGAGCUAGCUAGCCAGCUAACAUUACCUUUACCUACCAUGUUACCUACCAACAUGCUGUUGAUAAUUGGUGUUAACUUCAGCAUAAUUCAUUUGGUGAGUUAGCACAGAAGAUUUUGAGAUUAGUUGUGUCAGUUUUAGACAUAUAAAAAGUACCCUGUAAAUUUCUCAAGCAAUUUUUCACCAGAUGUUUUUCACCUUUUUACCCAUGUGACUUAUCACUACAGUAACAGUACUUUUUUAUCAUGCUUUUCACCACAGUAAAUAACAAUAUAUUGAUAUUUCUGAAUUUUAUAAUUAUUUUAGCAUGCACAGACUAGAAAAUCACUUCAGUUAUAUGACGAAUAUAACACAUUAUCUACUAUACUAUUAGUAAUCCUGUAGCCUCCUACCCUAUUACUUCACCUAAAGGCUCUUGCCAACUGACACAAUGACACAGGAUUUUUAGUGGGGAAGAGCAGAGGCCCAGCUCUGGUGGGACGGGUAUGAUUUCAUCAUUGUGUGGGACACUGAACUGGAGAUAUCAUCAACAAGCAUGGCUUUAUAAGCCUUCCUGUGGCUGCCACUGCAGACACAGGACAUGCAGAUAGCAAGUGGGAAGUGGACACACACAGGGUUUUUUUUUUUUUUCUGGUUGUUUGUCUGUGUUUGCUAGUGAUCCAGUGUUAUCAGGCCUUGUCAUCUGUUCUCACACCAUAACAUUUUCUUGGGAUGAAAAGUGCCUCUCUUUAGUAUCACUGUAAAUAUGAUAUACAUGAUACGUGUGUGUGUGUGUGUGUGUGUGUGUGUGUGUGUGUGUGUGUGUGUUCUGUUUUUACCCCAAGUUAAAACUAAGCCAUGAGAGCAGAUGGCUGGAGCUGAUAACACCAAACUGACGGGUUGUUAGUGCAAUGAGGGAAAAUGGUGAGAGAGCAGAGGAGAAAUUUGGAUAGGUAGUGGAAAAUCUUAAGAGAACUUAGAAUUAUACCUGAAUAUAUGUUGAAAUAACUUGGUGCUCAAAUGUUUGAGUUGCACCAGUUUCUAUGGGGCAAUAUGUGGUUCCAGGCCUGAAAUACGGCCACACGAUUUGGAAAGACAGUAUUUCAGCUCAGUCUCAGCACCUCAAAACCCAGCAUUACGAAACACCAAAUGACCAGUGACUUGCAUUUAUUAAAAGGCCAAUAAAUCUAAAGGGAACUUCAGUAUUUCCUGGUAAUUGUGAUUAAGUUAAAUGCGAUCAUAGAAACUACAAACCACUAGAACGGAAAAUUAUGAGUGAUUAACAGAUUGGUAAUCACUCAUAAUUUUCUGUUAACUGUUAAAAGAGGUGAACGUGCAUAGAGUUUAUAAGAUAGUUGUACACAUUUUCCUUAAGUGCAUACAUUACACAUGAUCAAGUGGUGUUGUUUUUUUAAAUCAUGUGAUUAUGUGAAUAAGAUGCGAUGGGGAAAAAAUUAUGUAAAAAUAAAUGAAUCCUGUGAAUUUGUAAUUUGUUAUUAUUUAUAUGUGAAGUUCAUGUGACUUUGCUGUAAGGGAAGCAUCUGUAACUACUAAGAAAAUCAAAAUACACUAUAUGGCCAAAAGUAUGUGCACACCUGACUUUCAUAUUCAUAUGUGCGUGAACAUUCCAUUCCAGAUUUAGUGCCCUUUCUUGCUAUAACCUCCACUCUUCUGGGAAGGCUUUCCACAAGAUUUUGAAGUGUGGCUGUGUGGAUUUGUGUUCAUUCAGCCACAAGAGCAUUAGUGAGGUCAGGAACUGAUAAUACAUGAGGAGGCCCUGGGGUGCAGUCAGCGUUUCAGUUCAUCCCAAAGGUGUUCAGUGGGGUUGAGGUCAGGGUUCUGGGCAGUCCAUUUGAGUUUUUCCACUCCAAUCUUGGCAAAUCAUGGACCUCACUUUGUGCACAGGGGUAUUGUCGUGCUGGAACAUGCUCAAGAAUCUUAGUUCCAGUGAAGGGAAAUUGUAAAGCUACAGCAUACAGAGACAUUUUAUACUAUUGUGUGCGUCCAAUUUUGUGGCACCAGUUUAGGGACAAACUGCAUAUGGGUAUGAUGGUCAGGUGUCCACAAACCUUUGGCCUUUGGACCUGGUUAGUACUUAGAUGGGAGACCACCUGGGAAUACCUGGUACUCUAAGCCAUUUCAACAACUGCAUGGUCCUGUAGGUUCACUCUGUACAAC